CAGUAGCCGCGGUAAUACGUAGGUGGCAAGCGUUGUCCGGAAUUAUUGGGCGUAAAGGGCUCGCAGGCGGUUUCUUAAGUCUGAUGUGAAAGCCCCCGGCUCAACCGGGGAGGGUCAUUGGAAACUGGGAAACUUGAGUGCAGAAGAGGAGAGUGGAAUUCCACGUGUAGCGGUGAAAUGCGUAGAGAUGUGGAGGAACACCAGUGGCGAAGGCGACUCUCUGGUCUGUAACUGACGCUGAGGAGCGAAAGCGUGGGGAGCGAACAGGAUUAGAUACCCCGGUAGUCCCUGUCUCUUAUAU
This 301-nucleotide ribosomal RNA is filed under the name uncultured bacterium. RNAcentral's name for it is "partial 16S ribosomal RNA". It matches the Rfam family "Bacterial small subunit ribosomal RNA", at positions 509 to 809 of the family's 1533-position model. The record is from RNAcentral.